RNAcentral lists this ribosomal RNA (484 nucleotides) under uncultured bacterium. RNAcentral's name for it is "bacterial SSU rRNA". It matches the Rfam family "Bacterial small subunit ribosomal RNA", at positions 30 to 509 of the family's 1533-position model. The record is from RNAcentral.
AUUGAACGCUGGCGGCAUGCCUUACACAUGCAAGUCGAACGGCAGCACGGGAGCAAUCCUGGUGGCGAGUGGCGAACGGGUGAGUAAUAUAUCGGAACGUGCCCAGUCGUGGGGGAUAACGUAGCGAAAGCUACGCUAAUACCGCAUACGAUCUACGGAUGAAAGCGGGGGAUCGCAAGACCUCGCGCGAUUGGAGCGGCCGAUAUCAGAUUAGCUAGUUGGUGGGGUAAAAGCUCACCAAGGCGACGAUCUGUAGCUGGUCUGAGAGGACGACCAGCCACACUGGAACUGAGACACGGUCCAGACUCCUACGGGAGGCAGCAGUGGGGAAUUUUGGACAAUGGGCGCAAGCCUGAUCCAGCAAUGCCGCGUGCAGGAUGAAGGCCUCGGUUGUAACUAGCUUUGUACGGUACGAAACGGUGAGCUCUAAUAAAGACUUGCUAAUGACGGUACCGUAAGAAUAAGCACCGGCUAACUACGUGCC